Molecule: transfer RNA, 71 nt
Filed under: Rickettsiales bacterium (ex Bugula neritina AB1)
Lineage: Bacteria; Pseudomonadati; Pseudomonadota; Alphaproteobacteria; Rickettsiales
Description: tRNA-Gly
Rfam family: tRNA
About the family: Transfer RNA (tRNA) molecules are approximately 80 nucleotides in length. Their secondary structure includes four short double-helical elements and three loops (D, anti-codon, and T loops). Further hydrogen bonds mediate the characteristic L-shaped molecular structure. tRNAs have two regions of fundamental functional importance: the anti-codon, which is responsible for specific mRNA codon recognition, and the 3' end, to which the tRNAs corresponding amino acid is attached (by aminoacyl-tRNA synthetases). tRNAs cope with the degeneracy of the genetic code in two manners: having more than one tRNA (with a specific anti-codon) for a particular amino acid; and 'wobble' base-pairing, i.e. permitting non-standard base-pairing at the 3rd anti-codon position.
Source: RNAcentral
GCAGGUGUGGUUUAGUGGUAGAACAUGACCUUGCCAAGGUUAUAGCGGGGGUUCGAUUCCCCUCAUCUGCU